RNAcentral lists this transfer RNA (73 nucleotides) under Camelus bactrianus (Bactrian camel). It matches the Rfam family "tRNA". From Rfam's summary of the family: Transfer RNA (tRNA) molecules are approximately 80 nucleotides in length. Their secondary structure includes four short double-helical elements and three loops (D, anti-codon, and T loops). Further hydrogen bonds mediate the characteristic L-shaped molecular structure. tRNAs have two regions of fundamental functional importance: the anti-codon, which is responsible for specific mRNA codon recognition, and the 3' end, to which the tRNAs corresponding amino acid is attached (by aminoacyl-tRNA synthetases). tRNAs cope with the degeneracy of the genetic code in two manners: having more than one tRNA (with a specific anti-codon) for a particular amino acid; and 'wobble' base-pairing, i.e. permitting non-standard base-pairing at the 3rd anti-codon position. Lineage: Eukaryota; Metazoa; Chordata; Mammalia; Artiodactyla; Camelidae. The record is from Rfam by way of RNAcentral. RNAcentral also lists the same sequence under 3 other names.
GAGGGUAUAGCUCAAGUGGUAGAGCACACGCUUAGCAUGCACAAGGUCCUGGGUUCAAUCCCCAGUACCUCCU